This 503-nucleotide ribosomal RNA is filed under the name uncultured bacterium. RNAcentral's name for it is "bacterial SSU rRNA". It matches the Rfam family "Bacterial small subunit ribosomal RNA", at positions 1 to 509 of the family's 1533-position model. The record is from RNAcentral.
CAACAGCUAGAGUUUGAUCCUGGCUCAGGAUGAACGCUGGCGGCGUGCUUAACACAUGCAAGUCGAGCGGAGUUAAUCGGAAGCUUGCUUUUGAUUAACUUAGCGGCGGACGGGUGAGUAACGUGUGGGCAACCUGCCCUGUACUGUGGAAUAAUCACUUGAAAAGGUGACUAAUACCGCAUGUGGUCCUUAGGAGGCAUCUUCUGAGGAAGAAAGGAUUUAUUCGGUACAGGAUGGGCCCGCAUCUGAUUAGCUAGUUGGUGAGAUAACAGCCCACCAAGGCGACGAUCAGUAGCCGACCUGAGAGGGUGAUCGGCCACAUUGGGACUGAGACACGGCCCAAACUCCUACGGGAGGCAGCAGUGGGGAAUAUUGCACAAUGGGGGAAACCCUGAUGCAGCAACGCCGCGUGAAGGAAGACGGUUUUCGGAUUGUAAACUUCUAUCAAUGGGGAAGAAAGAAAUGACGGUACCCAAAUAAGAAGCCCCGGCUAACUACGUGCC